Molecule: ribosomal RNA, 457 nt
Filed under: uncultured organism
Description: bacterial SSU rRNA
Rfam family: Bacterial small subunit ribosomal RNA
Source: RNAcentral
GAUAAACGCUGGCGGCGUGCCUAACCCAUGCAAGUCGUACGAACCAGUUAGCAAUAAUUGGUGAGUGGCGGAAGGGUGAGUAACACGUUGGAGAUCUGCCUCGUCGCAGGGAACAACAGUCCGAAAGGAUUGCUAAUACCCAAAAAGAUCAGUGGGUCAUACUGCUGAUCAGAGUCGAAAGGCGUGACGAGAGGGUCCUGCGGCCCAUCAGCUAGUUGGUAGGGUAACGGCCUACCAAGGCAACGACGGGUAGGGGGUCUGAGAGGAUGACCCCCCACACUGGAACUGAAACACGGUCCAGACGCCUACGGGUGGCAGCAGGGAGGAAUAUUGGGCAAUGGGCGAAAGCCUGACCCAGCAACGCCGCGUGGAGGAUGAAAGCCUUCGGGUUGUAAACUCCUUUUGAGGGAGACGAGAAAGGACGGUAUCCCUCGAAUAAGUCACGGCUAACUACGUG